Non-coding RNA from Hordeum vulgare subsp. vulgare (domesticated barley), 125 nucleotides. The record is from Rfam. Lineage: Eukaryota; Viridiplantae; Streptophyta; Magnoliopsida; Poales; Poaceae.
AUACUACUCCCUCCGUCCAGAAUUACUUGUCGCACAAAUUACUACAAAUUGAUGUACCUAGAACUAAAAUACAUCUAGAUACAUCCAUUCCGAUGACAAGUAUUUCCGGACGGAGGGAGUAGUAC